This 256-nucleotide ribosomal RNA is filed under the name uncultured bacterium. Its description in RNAcentral is "partial 16S ribosomal RNA". It matches the Rfam family "Bacterial small subunit ribosomal RNA", at positions 524 to 776 of the family's 1533-position model. The record is from RNAcentral.
UACGGAGGGGGCUAGCGUUUGUUCGGAAUUACUGGGCGUAAAGCGUACGUAGGCGGCUUUGUAAGUUAGAGGUGAAAGCCCGGAGCUCAACUCCGGAAUUGCCUUUAAGACUGCAUCGCUUGAAUCAUGGAGAGGUUAGUGGAAUUCCGAGUGUAGAGGUGAAAUUCGUAGAUAUUCGGAAGAACACCAGUGGCGAAGGCGACUAAACUGGACAUGUAUUGACGCUGAGGUACGGAAAGCGUGGGGAGCAAACAGG